GUGUCAGUUCUGUACAUAGAGCUUUCCUGACCAGCAUAUCUCAGUGUCAGUUCUGUACAUAGAGCUUGCCUGACCAGCAUAUAUCAGUGUCAGUUCUGUGUACCAUAUCGUAGAGUUUUCCUGACCACCAUAUCUCAGUGUCAGUUCUGGAUGCAGAUCAUUACAGCAUGUUAAACAGUAUGUCUUGUUACCGAGUGCUCAAUGAGAUACCUGCUCAGCUGUCAAUAUUUAUGUGCUUUUGCAGAGACUGCAGAAUAUAUCAACAUCACAUUAUCAUACAUUUUGCAGGUUUGUCUGUAGGUUGGCUAAUACUUCAGUAGGGAUUUCCAUGAUAUUUGCCGUCUGUUAUUGUCAAAAUGCACGUAUUGCCCUUCGUUUUGUCCCCAUUUCUAUAUUGCAGCAAAACAGAACAUUAUGUAAACUGAACAUCAUAACUGACACUUUGUGGGUACAGUGUUAUACAUAUUGUAUGUUUCAUGAGUUUUAUAGAGAAUUCACUAUGUUAAAGAAAGGGACAGUUGACACGAGUAUGGUUUGAAUGUCAGAAUUACUUUCUACUUGAUAGCCUGUGAGGGAAAGAUGGUUUCAUAUGACCGAUACAGUGAAAAAAUAAUUCUGAAAAUGUUGCUUUCAAUCACUGUGUUCAUGUACGAUGAGUAGAAUGUUAAAUAUGACAAACUGUAUAUCAUGUUUUCUGUGACAUGUCGCUUUUACACAUUGUAUGUAAGUUUGUUUCUUGACAUCUGCAUUUUAUAACUUACCUCACUGAAAUUCGAUUGACCUUCACCUUGUCCACGGCCUGCUUGCCAGGCUUGUAGUGUUGUAUGCUUAGUCUGCUGAGAAAGACCAAUAACAACAGGCUUUUGUCUAAUAAAAACUUCACUUUUUAGUUUCAUUACUUGACAAAAUCAUAACAUAUGACUUGAUUAAAAAUGAUCUGAUAAACCUUUCUCUUGUACACCUGACAAUAUGAAUAUGUUUGAUACCAAAUUCAGUUCAUGUGAAGGGUUACAUUCACUUUGACAGAAUUUGAACAUUGUUGUGCGGCCAGUAUUAAGAUUUACAGCAGUCAUAGUGGGAUAACAACUGGUACUCCCAUACGCUUACAAAGACUCGGAUAAUCAUAGCACUAUGAUGAUAAUAAACUGACAAACUUUUCAUGUCAACAGUGCUACAACCAUCAUAAGUUUACCAUCGUAAUUCAAUACUGUUACAUGGAUGGAGGUAGUUCUACGACCAUCGUAAGUCAAUACUAUUACAUGGAUGGAGGUAGUUCUACGACCAUCAUAAGUCAAUACUGUUACAUGGAUGGAGGUAGUGCUAAGACCAUCGUAAGUCAAUACUGUUACAUGGAUGGAGGUAGUGCUACGACCAUCGUAAGUCAAUACUGUUACAUGGAUGGAGGUAGUGCUACGACCAUCGUAAGUCCAUAGUUACAUGGAUGGAGGUAGUGCUACGACCAUCGUAAGUCAAUACUGUUACAUGGAUGGAGGUAGUGCUACGACCAUCGUAAGUCCAUAGUUACAUGGAUGGUGCUAUGACAGCUGUUUGGUGGGUACUGGUUAUGCAUUUCAGUUAGAACUGGUCUCCGCACCCUAUUUGAUGAGGUAACAUUGAGGGGGUCAGACAGUGUAGUGUUGGAUGAUGGCCAGUUAUUGUGUCCUCAUGGGAUCAGUGCUUACCACAUCAUGUCUGAUCCUGACUCAAUAUAUACAGGCCAGCAGCAUACAGCAGGAAUAUUGCUGAGGCCAGUGUUAUGUAAGAAACAUCUUUGAUCUGUCUGGGAUUUGGCAACUCCCAGACAGAUUGCAUCAUGAUUACAAGAUGGUCACAAAACAAUAAAAUAUGUGAAGAAAC
This is a long non-coding RNA of Haliotis rubra (blacklip abalone), 1857 nucleotides long. RefSeq lists it as uncharacterized. NCBI's taxonomy places the organism in Eukaryota, Metazoa, Mollusca, Gastropoda, Lepetellida, Haliotidae. The transcript is spliced from 2 exons. The record is from RefSeq and is a predicted model, not a curated record.